Molecule: ribosomal RNA, 512 nt
Filed under: uncultured archaeon
Lineage: Archaea
Description: bacterial SSU rRNA
Rfam family: Archaeal small subunit ribosomal RNA
Source: RNAcentral
UCAUCUCAUCUGGAAGGAGAGAUGGCUUAAAGGGGUAUGCGGGCUUCUUCUGCGUAUCUGCUCCAGGAUGGGACUGCGUCCGAUCAGGCUGUUGGCGGGGUAAUGGCCCACCAAACCUGUAACCGGUACGGGCCUUGAGAGAGGUGGCCCGGAGAUGGACACUGAGAGAAGGGUCCAGGUCCUACGGGGCGCAGCAGGCGCGAAACCUUCGCAAUGCGCGAAAGCGUGACGAGGUUAAUCCGAGUGGCCCCCGCUGAGGGGGUCUUUUGUCAGCUGUAAAUAGGCAGGCGAAUAAGGGGAGGGCAAGCCUGGUGUCAGCCGCCGCGGUAAUACCAGCUCCUCGAGUGGUCGGGGCGAUUAUUGGGCCUAAAGCAUCCGUAGCCGGUUCCGUAGGUCCUCUGUUAAAUCCAGCCGCUUAACGGUUGACAUGCAGAGGAUACCGCGGGACUAGGAGGCGGGAGAGGCGGACGGUACUCCGCGUGUAGGGGUAAAAUCCUUUGAUCCGCGGAAGA